Molecule: ribosomal RNA, 472 nt
Filed under: uncultured bacterium
Lineage: Bacteria
Description: bacterial SSU rRNA
Rfam family: Bacterial small subunit ribosomal RNA
Source: RNAcentral
UGGGGAAUUUUUCGCAAUGGGGGAAACCCUGACGAAGCAACGCCGCGUGGGGGAUGAAGGUCUUCGGAUCGUAAACCCCUGUCGAUCGGGACGAAAGCACCCAACCUAACACGUCGGAGUGUUGACUGUACCGGUGGAGGAAGCCACGGCUAACUCUGUGCCAGCAGCCGCGGUAAUACAGAGGUGGCAAGCGUUGUUCGGAAUUACUGGGCGUAAAGCGCACGUAGGUGGAUAGUUAAGUUCGGGGUGAAAUCCCAGGGCUCAACCCUGGAACUGCCUCGGAUACUGGCUAUCUCGAGUCCGGAAGAGGUGAGUGGAAUUCCUAGUGUAGAGGUGAAAUUCGUAGAUAUUAGGAAGAACACCGGUGGCGAAGGCGGCUCACUGGUCCGAUACUGACACUGAGGUGCGAAAGCGUGGGGAGCAAACAGGAUUAGAUACCCCAGUAGUCCCUGAGCGGGCUGGCAAGGCGCAU